UCCUGGGUAGCUCAGUUAGGCAGAGCGGGUGGCUGUUAACCACCUUGUCGGGGGUUCGAAUCCCUCCCCAGGAGCCA
RNAcentral lists this transfer RNA (77 nucleotides) under Nitrospirota bacterium. Its description in RNAcentral is "Nitrospirae bacterium (sediment metagenome) tRNA-Asn". It matches the Rfam family "tRNA". From Rfam's summary of the family: Transfer RNA (tRNA) molecules are approximately 80 nucleotides in length. The record is from RNAcentral. Lineage: Bacteria; Pseudomonadati; Nitrospirota.